RNAcentral lists this ribosomal RNA (501 nucleotides) under uncultured bacterium. Its description in RNAcentral is "partial 16S ribosomal RNA". It matches the Rfam family "Bacterial small subunit ribosomal RNA", at positions 30 to 523 of the family's 1533-position model. The record is from RNAcentral.
AUUGAACGCUGGCGGCAGGCUUAACACAUGCAAGUCGAGCGGGGGAAGGUAGCUUGCUACUGGACCUAGCGGCGGACGGGUGAGUAAUGCUUAGGAAUCUGCCUAUUAGUGGGGGACAACAUCUCGAAAGGGAUGCUAAUACCGCAUACGUCCUACGGGAGAAAGCAGGGGAUCUUCGGACCUUGCGCUAAUAGAUGAGCCUAAGUCGGAUUAGCUAGUUGGUGGGGUAAAGGCCUACCAAGGCGACGAUCUGUAGCGGGUCUGAGAGGAUGAUCCGCCACACUGGGACUGAGACACGGCCCAGACUCCGACGGGAGGCAGCAGUGGGGAAUAUUGGACAAUGGGGGGAACCCUGAUCCAGCCAUGCCGCGUGUGUGAAGAAGGCCUUAUGGUUGUAAGGCACUUUAAGCGAGGAGGAGGCUACUUUAGUUAAUACCUAGAGAUAGUGGACGUUACUCGCAGAAUAAGCACCGGCUAACUCUGUGCCAGCAGCCGCGGUAA